CCCUACAAAGAUAGAUACUUAGUGCUGUCAAAUUUACAUCAUGAUGUCUCACCAAUCUGCUCUUUUCUCUCCACCCUCCCACCAGGCCCCCAGCGUCUCCCUCUAGACUGUGGCCACAGCAUCCUGACAGGUCACUCCACCUCACUGCCCCAGAGUGGUCCUUCUAGAAGACAGUUCUCCUGGUGUUACUCCCUGCUUAGAAAUUCUGAUGGCUCCCAAAUGUCCUCAGGAUAAAGCACUCAUUCGUUGGCCGGGCAUGCAAGGCCAUUCAUUAUGUGGUCCUGAUCGUUCCUUCCUCAGCCUCCUCUCCCCACCCUCUGCCUCCCACCAGACCUCACUGGUGAUGAUUCUCUGAUUCUGCCAUGUUGUUAUGGUCCUGAAUGCCCUUCCCCUCAUCUCUCUCUAUCCAGUGCACCCCUCCUGAGCUGAAGUGUUCCUGUUCUCUCUGCAGCCUCUCCGACUCCCCAGGCUGGGUUGGGUGCUCCUCCCUCUCAUCCCACAGCGCUAUGUCUCAUGUCUUCUGGAAAACUUGCCAAUCCCUAGUGUAAGUGUGACUGGUCUAUUGUGAGCACCUAUUGUUCAGGGACCUCUGUUUACCUGAGAAAUUUUCAGACACUAUCCUGCUCCAAGUUCUGCAUUUUUG
RNAcentral lists this long non-coding RNA (643 nucleotides) under Homo sapiens (human). RNAcentral describes it as "HSALNT0291216". Lineage: Eukaryota; Metazoa; Chordata; Mammalia; Primates; Hominidae. The record is from RNAcentral.